AGCUUUGGUCAUACCACCGCCUCAGUUGUCUGUGUGUGUGUGUAUUGUAUGCAUGUGAUGUAAGGUCAUUCGCGUGAAAAUAUCAGCGAGGAAAAAAUCGAAUUUUUGUGUUUUGUGUGCUAGCUUGAUGAAUUAAGAACAAAAUAGGAAAGCUGGAAGAGCCAAAAAAUAGAUAAUUCGCACUCAAGCAAAAACACCAAACGGAAGAUCCAAAGCAAACAACCAACCAACAACAUCAACAGCAUCAACUAAUAUCAAAUUAAAUAACUAAGCCUAAUAACGUAUACAUUUAAAGAUCUAUUUAUAAAUUAAUAUUUACCAUAAUGAUUUAGUAAGUUAAGCUUAAAGUACAAAAAAAAAAUAAGAAAAGCAAAGAAAAAAGAAACACCACAACCAACAACAACAUCAACAACCAACCAACCAACAACCACAAAUAAUUUAUUAAUCAUUAAACGGAGUAAAUUCACAAAUCUGUAAUAAAUGCAAAUGACAAGGAAAUAACGAAAACGACAACAACAACAAGUCACCGCCAACAACAACAACCACACAUCGGCAGCAUAAUUUACAACAACCAACAACAACAACGGAUCAAUACCAAAGAUGGAGGCAAAAUUCUUGGCUAGCGCUCUUUCAUUCCUCUCGAUAUUUUUAGCGAUUUAUGCUCAAUCACUUGCCAACGACCUGAGCAAGGCGUCCACAGAGUUAGAGGAGCCGCAGACCAUCUACUACGGUGACCCGGUGGUGAACCUGGGCCAGCCGUUCUCGAUCACCUGCAUAAUCCCGAUCACCGAACAGAUUCAUUGGCUCAAGAACGGGGAGCCGAUCACGCGGCACAAUCUGCGGCACGGGCGGGAUGAUCAUGCCUACGCUCUGUCCGAGAGUGCAAUCGAGGGUGAGAAGCACAAGAUCGAGGCACACCUGAGUGUGCGACAUGCCCUUAAGGUGCACGAGGGUCGCUACCAGUGCAACCGGUACAGCGACGGCUACAUGCUGCACGUGCGGGAUCCCAAGGGAGUUGGAGCGGGAGCAGGCGAACCCACCGAGUCCGGCUAUCAAACCAUCGACGAGCUAACGCCCAACUCUGCGGAUGAUUUCUUUACACGAGCGUGGCUGGAGCAACAGCAGCAGCAGCAGCAGCAACAACAACAGUUGCCCCACCAGUCGCACAAGCUGCACAAGUCGCAUUUGGGCUACGGAAAUGCCAGUCUGUCUGCGUCUCAGCCGUGGCAUCCGUCGGCCGGCGGAGGCGGUAUCCACCGCGUUUACUCGGCGACACCGCCCGAUUUUCCACCCCCACGCCUUAAUCUGCUGGAGCAGACGGUGGCGCCGCCAGAGCCACCGACCAUACUGUACAAUCCCAAUCCGACGCAUCCCACUGCCAGCGCCACUGCCACGGAGGCCAGCCUGCUCCUGACGACGGCGCACCACCAUGUUCACCACCAGCAGCAGUUGCAGCAGUCGUCGCAGCACACUCUGAACGCCUUCCAGCUGCCACUGCCGCCGCGACCCAAUCCCGGCCAGAAUGAGCGAUACCAGACCUAUGCACCGCACUAUGUGCCCCCAGUGGUGGUAUCUGGAGUGGGAGCGGGAGUGGAAGCGGUACCGGGAGCAGGAGCAUCAGGAGAGCACACCACCAUUUCAGCAGCCACCAGCACAAGGGCCAUGAUGGGUGGCGGUGGUGGCGCUGCUGCUGCGGGCAUUUCUGCGGGCGCGAGUGGCCAAAUGCUGGGUGCUGGCGGCCACAUGCUGAUGGGUGGCCAGGGGCAUCAGGUGCAUCUGCAGCACCAGACGCUCUUGCCCGUCAAGAUGGAUAAGCUGGUGCCAAACUAUGAUAAUGUCGAACAUCAAAUGAAAUUUUACGACAUCAGAUCGCCGCUCGUUCUCAGCUGCAACGUGAAAGACAGUACGCCGGGCGGCCUGCUCAUAUGGAGAAAGAACGGCACCGUUGUGACGGAAGUAGCUUCUCUAAGAGGUCGCUUUAAGUUAAUCCCAGACGAGAACAAGUUCAUCAUCGAUAAGACGGAUACGACCGACGAUGGCGAAUACAGUUGCGAGUACAGUGGAGAGACCAAGAAAAUCGAAGUAAUUGCCCGCGUUGUUGUAAGAGUGCCUUCAAAUACAGCCGUUGUGGAGGGUGAGAAGAUGUCGGUGACCUGCAGCGUUGUGGGAACCAAACCACAGUUGACAUGGACCUUUGGCAAUGUAACGCUGACAAACGACACAGAUCGCGUCAUCGUCAAACCAGAUAAUGGUGUUCCUAACGCCAUUCUGACACUGGACAAUGUGACAUUGGACGACAGAGGCGAAUACAAAUGCACUGGAAAAAAUGCGGCCAAUGAAUACGCUAAGAACACCACUACUCUUGCCACCGACGCCACAACUCUUCGUGUUAAGAGCAAAUUUGCCGCCUUGUGGCCUUUCCUGGGCAUCUGUGCUGAGGUGCUGAUUCUGUGCAUCAUCAUUCUCAUUUAUGAGAAGCGACGCAACAAGAGCGAACUGGAGGAGAGUGAUACUGAUCCCCAAGAACAUUGAUCAAGUUCGCUCUCUAGUUAAAACUAAUUUGAAUGAGAAAUCCUUAAACAAAAACUGAAAACAUGUGGGAGAACCUGCUGCUUGAUUCGAUCGAUUGAUUGGUUGACUUCUUUCUGCAAUCAUCAUCAAAAAACUAAAAAUUGAAAUCUAAAAAACCAAAAACCGAAAUCCACCACCAAAAACGAAAACUAACCCAAAAUAUAAACCUCGCCCUCGAUUAAUUCUCCAUUAACCCGCCUUAACUAACCAAAUCUGAUCCAAAAUGUGCCCAGCGUCAACUAACAUCAACAACUACAACUCCAAAAACAACAAUCACUGCAAUAAUGUACCAAAAUAGCUAAAAAUAUCUACUAACAAUCUGAACAGCAAUAGCAACAAGUACGGUAUCUGCAACAGCAACAACCAAAGAAAAAGAAAAGGAGAAAUUAUGAUUAAAAUUCCUAAGCAAAAGAAAGAACACACCGUAUAAAAAAUAACAAAUUAAACAAUAUAAAUAUGAGCAAAACCCACUAACUGAAAGUAAAAUGCAUUAAAACAUUACAUAAACUACAUAAAACUAGCGAGAUCGAGAAUGCUAAUGAUACCGACAUAAGAAAAACCAUCACAAGAGAAAAAGUUGUGUAUCCAUGUCCCUGUCCCAAUUUCCCUGCCCCGGCAAAACAGCAAAAUUUGUUUAGCAAAAUUGUAUUUUAUUAAUGAAAUAUAAAGGAAAAGCAAACCAUUAAUAUUAAACCAGAGGAAACCGAAGUAAAUCUAAAAUAAUAUUAAAAUGGAAAGUGAUAGCAGUUAAACGAACACUAAUAAGAGAAUAUGAAUAGGCGAUGGCAGAAUAAAGGAACUUUAGCAAUUAACCUUAAACUGAAUCGUUAACUCCAAGCAAAAAUGUCGCACAUGCCACCCCUUUUCCCACGCACCCUCCACCUGAACAACCGAAUAAUAUUGUACAUAACCUAUAAAGUUGAGAAAAGCUAAAGAAGGGCACUUUCUUCUGUCUCUGCCCAACUCACCGUAGACGCGAGCAGCCGAGGCUCUGUCUCUCUCUUUCCUAGCAGGAGGACUCUUUACAUGACUAUGAUUUUUUAGGUAGCGAUAUUUUGAGGUUAGUUUUUAGUUCGAAACGGAACUGUAGCAAAGAAAGCAGCAGAAGCAAAGCGGAAGCGGAAGUAACAGGAGCCACAAUUAAGAGCAAGAUGGCGGAGGAGAGAACGGGAUGGAACUUGAUGAAAUGGGAGACCGUUUGCAAACGACGUUGAAAGAACUUUGUUUAUUUAACUUAGUUAAUACGGUGUAUUGAAAAAAGAAAACUGAAGAUGAACUUUUUAAACAAUUAAGUAGCGCGUUAUGAGUAUAUUUUUAAAGGAUUAAUACCACAACUAGUAGCUGAUGAUGGAGAGUUAGACGAAGCGUUGGAAGCGAAAACAUUGUAUAUUGCAUAAUUUUAGGAGAAGUGGAUGGACGUAAAUCAGAUGCGUACUGCCAAAACUUGUAAAGUUCAGUACUAUUUGCAUAGCCUCAUUUUUGGUAAACAAAAACUAAAAAACCAAAAUCAAAACACACUAAGAACUAAAAACAAAUAAAAGAAAUCAUAAGCUCUGUUAAUUCAUUUAUGUUGUUGUUAAUUUCGGUUGUUUAUGUAUGUAUAAUGUAUGUGUAUAAAAAUCGAAUUGCGAAAGAACAAAGAACUAAAGCGGUCUUCAAUUCACACCCUAACCGUAAUCAUAAAUUAAAAAUUUGUAUGACUUUAAUUUUAGUUACAUACGUAUUUAUACGUUUUAAUUUUCGUAAACCUUUCGUUGUUGAUUUUUUCGCCGCCACCAAAGCUUUAAAAAUUUACAUAGUAAACUGUGUUUUCAGCAAAACGAUCAAGUUAAUGAAAUGAAAUUAUGUUAAAUGAUAGAAGACGAGACGAUUUGUAUAGUAAACUAAAUGAGCAUAAUAAACAGAACCCUUGAUAAAACCAACAGAGAAAUGUUCUUGUUAUAUAUAUAAAUAAAGAAUAUAUAUAUAAUUACUAUAUAUAUACAUACAUAUAUAUAUAGAUCACGUGUGUGUGUGUGCAUGUUCGAUUACAUAGUUAUAUACAUAUGCGAUGAAUUACAAAAAUAGAAGAAGAGGGGAAAGGUAAAUAAUAGCCUAGAGAGGAGACUUUUUGGAAACCGUCGAUAAAUUCUCGUGCAUAAGUUUUUUAUUCAUGUACAAUUGUUGUACAGUUUUUGUGGCUUAUUUGUGUAUAACAACUAUUAAUGACAACAACAACUACUACUUGUACUACAAUUGAUCUAUUAUGCAUAACUGUACAUUAAAGUGAGCCCCUACUCUCCCACUUCGCCCCCUUCGUGAACCCCCUUCUCAUUUUUUUUUUACUUCUGGGCUUGGAAUCCAUUCGACCAACCAACCGACUCCCCUAGAAAACAUCCCAGACGUCCUUGAACCUCUUUGAACUGAAAAGCGAACCCAACAACACGAACAACAACAGCUACGAUACCUAUUUACUGCUAUAUUGUAUGACGUAAUGUUACCCACAACAACAACAACAACAACAACAUGAACAACUAACCAUACACACGUAACUAACUUUAAAGCAAACCAAACCAAAAUCAACUUCGGAACACUCGUCAACUAUGCUAUAUAUAUAUAUAUAUGUAUUUAAAUAUAUAUAUAUAUACAACAACAUACUAACGAAAGGAUGCAAAAACCAAACGGAAACUAUACAUACUUAUAUAAUAUACACCUAUAUACAAACAACCACAUACGCAGUAUUGUAUGUCUUUUUGUACAGAAAACAAACGACAAACUACUAAGCCUGACAACAAACAAAUCGUGUAUCCUAACUACAACUCCUCAGAUAGAACAUAUGACGCCUCCACAGCACCACCACCACACAGUACUCACACCUGGAACACCACAUCCAUACCCCACAUUCACCUUAUGGUCAGGUCUCCCUAUCAUUUAACGAUCACCGACCGACAACGAUCCAUUGUUUACCCAUCAAUUGUUGCUAGCUAUCGAACAGUAUAAUCAACAAAUGCAGAAUUUCUUGGCACACACUUUUGAAUCUCACGCGGUAGUCGCUUCAUGAGUAGAGCAGCUAAAUGUGAACAUCGGACGGAGCUCUAGUUGAGUCACACAAGAAGGAACCUUAUAUAUAUUAUAUAUAUAACAUACAUAUUAAUAAAUAAUAUUAACAAUUACAUGUACUUUUAAUUAGUCGCAUAAGCCAAAUGUCGGGGGGAGAUAAAUCACAAGCCGAAACGAAAACUAAGACUAAACCUAAGCCAGAAAAGCGGUUCGCAUCGGUUAACCCAGGAUUGAUAGAUCAAAUUGACAGGUUAGGUUCGAAUUUCAGGAAGGUCCUCGGUUUUAUAUAAUUCCGCAACGUAGCGAGUAUGCAACGUAGAGCUUGUAUAUUUGAUAAUUAAAUCACAACUGUCUCUCUUCGACUUUCCGUACAGUGCGUUUCGGAGCUGCAAAACCCAAGAUAACAAAAAGGACAAAUGCCCCCGAAAAGUUAUACCAUCAUUAUGCAAUGAAACCCACAAUUUCAACACUUGUUAUAGCAUUGAAAUCACUUGCAGCACCCAAACACAUUGUACGCAAAAUCAGAGCCAAAUGUAUGUUUAUUCAAAAAUAUUCUUUUUGGCGGAUUCACUGGCAAGUCACACAAUUUGUAUGAAUUUCGGCUCUGGAAAGGAGCUAGCUUCCGAUCGGUAUGGAAAUGAGUAUAUGGUGGAGGAGCCAUCAGCCAGCCAGGCUGAGAUUCCUGCGAACCUGUGAACCCAGAAAAAAAAACCUAACUUUGUUUUCCGCAGGCGCCCAGGGUAGUGUUAAUGAGAUCUGUAGGAGACACUGUAGGAAAACAAAUAAUUGCCUUAGGGUUUCAGUAGAAAUAUGUAAAACAAAACAUUAACAAAUAAUUUACCUUUUAAAUCAUUUCCCUUAUCGGCGACUUUGAGCAAAACGUGUGACUUGGCCUUAAUGGGGGUGUGACAUCAGCACAUUAUAAACCAGUUAGAACUACGGGUAAACACGGUUCGCCAUAAAAACCGAUACCAAAACCGAAACCGAAACCAAGAGUCGAGCGCAGUAAAAUAUUCUGUAAUCCACGCUAGUAACCGAAUGUCACACAAAACACACACAUGGGCCGGCGGAGGCAGAUGGAAUCCUUCCGGGAUGAGCUAGAUAUAUAGGAUAGCUAACCGCAUAAGCCUUUAGGGGAGUUAGAUGAGAAGCAGAUGAAAUCAAUUAAGUGCCACGCCCCAACCCCUCUUCUAACCAGACUUCGCCGUAUGACAACCAAAUAGAACUCGUUACCAGAUCCCGUAGAAGGAUUCCAGUUGGUUCCGCAGGGCCCCUGCGAAAUGUCUUCAACUAGAGCGAACACAAAACCGUUUCAGAAUACUAAUCGAUAAAACUAUGAUUUUUAGCAAUUUAUAUAAAUUACAUAUAUACAUACAAAUACAUAGAUAAUGAAUUAUGGAAACCGAAGCUAAAACUAGACCUAAUCCUAAAUCUAGACCGAAGAGAAAUCACAAACAAGUCAACAGGGCACAGCGCUUCUUAACUAUAUUAAUUUCGACAAGCAGAACUUUUUCUAAACCUAAACUAAAACCAAAACCAAAACCAAACAAAGAAAAUGUAAAACCAACGCUAAUCUUAAACUAUAACUAACUUUUUAAACUAAUAUUGAAAUUGAACCCAACAAAGUGUUCAUUAAACUAAAACCAAAGGAAUACAUAUGUGUGUAUGUACGAGCAUGUAUGUAUGUAUAUGUACUUAAAGUUAUACAUUAAAGAAACACAACAUUUUGUAUGGCUAUGGCAAAAACAAAUCCGAAAAAAAACCGAAGAAAAUAACAAAAAAAAAAAAAAAGAAAUAAGCAGAAGAUGGUGAAAAGAACCCAACAAUUUAGAUAUGUAAUUUAAUGUAAAGAGUUUAUCGAAUAAAUUGAGAGACAAACCAAAAAAAAAA
RNA transcript from Drosophila yakuba, 7500 nucleotides. RefSeq lists it as uncharacterized. The transcript has 11 exons. Lineage: Eukaryota; Metazoa; Arthropoda; Insecta; Diptera; Drosophilidae. The record is from RefSeq and is a predicted model, not a curated record.